CAAGAAAAUGCCUUUAAGAAUCGGUUGAUAUCGACAAAAAAUGAAAUUAUAUGACUCGAGGAGUGAGAAGUGCCAUGGCCCAUGACGUCCAUGCUUCAAAUGUGAAUACGAAGAACAAAGACAAAGUUUCAGAAACUAUAAAAAGGUGUUUCCAACGUAAAGUCACAUCGAAAGCAUGUAAACUUUUAGCACUACAUCCUAGGAAUAACGAUGUAUGUUUGAAAAUAUUGUUUGGUUUUUGGUUAACACUGAGCCUGAAGCCUCGAAUGAUGAAGUUUAAUUUUCGAUUGUUCGAACGUCAAGAACCCUUGUCAGUUUCGGGGGAGUUUCUUACUGUUCAUGUUGUUUUGGCUGUUUGGCAUGGAAGUUGCAGGAUAGUUUGGACUUAGGUUUAUAGAAGGCUAUAUUUUAAACCAAUGUAAUUUUUUUUUUUAAUUUUUUUUAAGUUUAACGCCGGUUCCUGCAGACACGAAGAACAUAAACGGCGGAGAUUUUAGCCACUACAAAUCAAUUUAUAUCAAAUAUGUUUAUGUUCCAGGACGAAGUUAAUACCACGAAAAGGAAUUGUGUUUUUAAAUUUUUAAAAACAAAUGACUUUACAACAUUCUAAAAGGACAACUAUAUGGGAAAGGUUGG
Non-coding RNA from Paramuricea clavata, 636 nucleotides. The record is from the annotation of a GenBank genome assembly. NCBI's taxonomy places the organism in Eukaryota, Metazoa, Cnidaria, Anthozoa, Malacalcyonacea, Plexauridae.